Molecule: long non-coding RNA, 2237 nt
Filed under: Homo sapiens (human)
Lineage: Eukaryota; Metazoa; Chordata; Mammalia; Primates; Hominidae
Description: HSALNT0387373
Source: RNAcentral
CACUUGCUUUGUGCCAGGGAAUUUCCAAGCACUUUACAUGGGUCAGCUUAUUUAAGUCUAACAAUAACUUCAUGUGGGUGGGAUUACUGACCCAUUAUAUAGAUGAAGAAACAGAGGUGGUGAGGGACUAAGUAGCUGGGUCCAGGACACACAGCUAGUAAGUGAUAGAGUUGUCCAACCAUAGCGCCCAUGCUCUUAACAGUGAUGCCUCGCUGUCUGACCUGGGUCUUAGGAGUAGUGGUAUCUGGCUAGUGGGAUUUACAUCUUUCUUAGUUUUGCCUAUCUCAGUUGCUAAAAUUUUUACCAUGAGCCUAUAUUUGUUUUGCAAAUAAAAUUUUUUUGGCAAUAAAAAGACUAGUAAUACAAAGAUGAUUUCCUUUAUAUCUCUACAUUUCCAUUUUCUCUUCUUUGUGAAACCUUAUUACUAUAGAUGGUAUAUUUACUAUAUAUACAUACACAUAUGUAUAAUAUGCAUGUCUUAUCUAUGAUAUGUAACAGUAUAUGAUGUAUAUGCACAUAAAUAAUAUAUCCAUUUUAUACUUGUGAACUGAACAUUUGUUGCUGUUCCCCCCAAAUUCGGAUGUUGAUAGAACUCUAACCCCCAUUGUGGCAGUACUUGGAGGUGGGCCUCUCCUUAGGAAGUUAAGGUUACAUGAGGUCAUGAGGAUGGAGCUCUGAUCUGAUAGGAUGAGGAUCCUUAUAAAAGGAGACCCUGUAUGCUCCCUAAUCCCCACCCUCCAGGUACAUGCCCCAAGGAAAUGAGGCUACAUGAGGACACAGCAAGAAGGUGGCUGUCUGCAAGCCAGAAAGAGAGCCCUCCCCAGAGACUGAACCAGCUAGAACCAUGAUCUUGGACUUCCAGCCUCCAGAACUGUUAUUCUAGGUCGACUUCCGUGUCUGGAUGUAACCAAAUCACCAGCCAGACCGUGACCAGGACACAUCAUACCGCUUGCCCCCGGCAGAGAUCCUGUGCCCACAUGUGAUAAGCUCCCAGGAGACCACAAGCUACUUGGAGGUAGGACCAAGUGGUGUACAUAACGACCAGACAGCCACAAAGAGUCCCUUGCUCAGACAGGUGUUCAGCAACUCUUCCCAGAGCAAAACAUGCCUGUCUUGCCCACUGCGGAGUAACUGCAAGGCAGCGCACUGCUCCUCUGGGGUCUCAGACCCAAUGGCAGCCUUACAAGAAUAAACUCAAGCUGUUUUAAAAAAUAUUUUUAAACAGCAAACCUCUCCUCUCUAAAUGACAUUUAAUUGCUUCAAAGAUCAAGAGAAGGCAACUUCUUUGUGGCUGGGCGUGCAAACAACCUGCGUUCUUCAGGGCUCUGGGUAUGGGUUACAAGAUUCAUCGUGACUCAAUUCUCCAAUCCACUGAGUUUUGGAGGACACAGGCAGUGUGUCACUGCAGAUGGACUGCCAACCCCCAAUUAAACUGUUCUGGAUGGCUACUGGUGGUGACCUUCAGGUGACAUUGGUCAAGCCUCAAAGGAGUGUGGCCACCCAACCCUAGCAGAGUUUGAGUGUGCCAGGUGCUCAUUACUGAACCCACUUCUCAGUCUACAUCAAACAACCAUGCUGGCCAGAAAUGGUGUGCUGAGUUCUGACGAUACAGAAACACCACACUACUGAUGAUACAGGUGCAUACAUGAAACCUCCUGGUGGCAGGAAGACUCGUUCCUGAGGGCCUGAUGGCUCCCACACCGAGGAAUGCUCUGCCAGAGGCCAGUCCAUUUCAGGCACAGUUAUAACCCACUCCAUAAAGGUUGUGCCAGGGAGAAAAUUAUGACAGGACCUUGCUUGAAAGAAGAGGCAGUCACAAGGCCCCAUGGGGCUUACCUUCCAGGAUGGACUGGCCCUGGGUUUGGGAUUGCAUCAAUUUCAUUUCUGGCUCUCAUGAGUCGGAUUCCCUCUUUUCUCAGAGUAUGGAAGCCAGUGGAGCGUGGCAAAGGUGUCUGGCACCCUGUCUUUGCUGCUUCCUGUGAAAACGAGAUGGUCUGCCUGAAAUGAUACAUUGGCUGUUUCAUUUCUGGGCUCCCCUUGUGUCUUUUUUUUUUAAAGACAGAGACGGGGUCUCACUAUGUUGCCCAGGCUGUCCUCGAACUCCUACGCUCAAGGAAUCUUCCUGCCUCAGCCUCCCAAAGAGCAGGAUUAUGAACGUGAGCCAUUACGCCCAACUUCCCCUAAUCUCUUGUGCUUGGCAUAAUGCUGGUAUGCAGUAGGUGCUCAAUAAAUGCUGA